UUAAGCAUAUCAAUAAGCGGAGGAAAAGAAACCAACAGGGAUUGCCCCAGUAACGGCGAGUGAAGCGGCAACAGCUCAAAUUUGAAAUCUGGCUUCGGCCCGAGUUGUAAUUUGCAGAGGAUGUUUAUGGUGCGGUACCUUCCGAGUUCCCUGGAACGGGACGCCACAGAGGGUGAGAGCCCCGUCUGGUUGGAUACCAAACCUGUGUUAAACUCCUUCAACGAGUCGAGUAGUUUGGGAAUGCUGCUCUAAAUGGGAGGUAAAUCUCUUCUAAAGCUAAAUAUUGGCCAGAGACCGAUAGCGCACAAGUAGAGUGAUCGAAAGAUGAAAAGCACCUUGAAAAGGGGGUUAAACAGUACGUGAAAUUGUUAAAAGGGAAGCGUUUAUGACCAGACUUGUGUCGUGUGGCUCAUCCGAGGUUCUCCCCGGUGCACUCCACACGGCUCAGGCCAACAUCGGUUCUCGUUGGGGGAUAAGAACAGCAGGAACGUGGCCCUCUUCGGAGGGUGUUAUAGCCUGCUGUACGAUACCCUGAUGGGGACCGAGGACCGCGCUUCGGCUAGGAUGUUGGCGUAAUGGUCAUUAGCGACCCGUCUUGAAACACGGACCAAGGAGUCGUCCAUUAGAGCGAGCGUUUGGGUGUAAAACCCGCACGCGUAAUGAAAGUGAAAUUAGGUGAGAGCUUCGGCGCAUCAUCGACCGAUCCUGAAGUUUACGGAUGGAUUUGAGUAAGAGUUUUAACGGACGGACCCGAAAGACAGUGAACUAUGCUUGAAUAGGGUGAAGCCAGAGGAAACUCUGGUGGAGGCUCGCAGCGGUUCUGACGUGCAAAUCGAUCGUCAAAUUUGAGCAUGGGGGCGAAAGACUAAUCGAACUGUCUAGUAGCUGGUUACCGCCGAAUU
Molecule: ribosomal RNA, 902 nt
Filed under: Gnomoniopsis fructicola
Lineage: Eukaryota; Fungi; Ascomycota; Sordariomycetes; Diaporthales; Gnomoniaceae
Description: LSU rRNA
Rfam family: Eukaryotic large subunit ribosomal RNA
Source: RNAcentral